Molecule: long non-coding RNA, 1071 nt
Filed under: Salmo salar (Atlantic salmon)
Lineage: Eukaryota; Metazoa; Chordata; Actinopteri; Salmoniformes; Salmonidae
Description: lncRNA (ENSSSAG00000099042.1)
Source: RNAcentral
GCGACGUUGAGCGCCGGAGGGGUGAAGUGGGAGUAGACGUGACACCAGAAUUGGAACGCAUGCAACUGGAAACCUGCUGUAAAAGAAUGAGAGACCUCAAGGAGAAUAUAUUGCCUGAAAGCUAGAAUCCUUAAUUGGAACAAUAACAAAGUAUCUCCCUGACUCUAUUUUAGUAAAAAGCGGAAGAAUGGGCCUGGAGAAACAUAACCACUCUCAAAUUCAUAGACAAAGCUGUGGAUUAACUAUUCAUGGACCUUAAGACAGAAGCCAGGCCGGGGCUGCUUCGAAGCCAAAGAGGAAACAGAAGAGAUUUAAACGUCCUCUCUCUUUUCACGUCCAGUAUUCAUCCAGUAUUCCCCUGGGCUCACACCAAAGCCUCUCUGUGUGAUUGACAAGCCAUGUUCCAACCCCUCAGAGAGAUACCUGUCAUGUCUGGCUUUUAUGCUGUAUGUACUGAAGACCGGCCACUAAAUUACCAACAGCGAUGGAGGAGGACAGUCACGUAUACAUUGACUAACAGGGAAUUUUUAAUGACACUCCAGAAUUAUCUGAGAAUGACGAAAUGUGACCUUUCAAUCCAUAGAGGGAAAUAAUAGAGGAUAAGAACGUUUUCUAAUGUAAUCUAAAACAAAAUCAUAAACAAUAAUGGUCACACAGGUGCUCUUUGGCCUCUACUGGUCCGUCUUGAGGUUUGUUUUCUCACCAGAGCAUGGGAGAAAGUUGUAGUGUGAGUGACUUUGUCUUAUAGCUGAAGGGCAGCCCAGUGCCAUGCCUAGCUACCACCUCAGCGUUUAAUUAAACUUACACCGACUCCCUGGCCUCCUGAUGCCAUCUCUGUACAUGGCAUAUGCUGUGAACAUAUUCACUUAGAUGCUCUGGGCGGAAUACAGACAUGGAAACCAGAGGUAACAGGAAUAUGAGGCAUACCUCUAUUCAAGUGACAUGAACGUUUUUCUUUAGUCAUUUAUUCUUUAAAUAAAAUAUUGUAUUUAUAGUAUCUCUUAAAAAAAUACCAUAUAAAAUAUCAUUUAUCAGAAGCAAUAUGAAGUUUGUCCCAACAAUAUAAAAUGU